AUUGAACGCUGGCGGCAGGCCUAACACAUGCAAGUCGAACGGUAGCACAGAGGAGCUUGCUCCUUGGGUGACGAGUGGCGGACGGGUGAGUAAUGUCUGGGAAACUGCCCGAUGGAGGGGGAUAACUACUGGAAACGGUAGCUAAUACCGCAUAACGUCGCAAGACCAAAGAGGGGGACCUUCGGGCCUCUUGCCAUCGGAUGUGCCCAGAUGGGAUUAGCUAGUAGGUGGGGUAACGGCUCACCUAGGCGACGAUCCCUAGCUGGUCUGAGAGGAUGACCAGCCACACUGGAACUGAGACACGGUCCAGACUCCUACGGGAGGCAGCAGUGGGGAAUAUUGCACAAUGGGCGCAAGCCUGAUGCAGCCAUGCCGCGUGUAUGAAGAAGGCCUUCGGGUUGUAAAGUACUUUCAGCGAGGAGGAAGGCGUUGUGGUUAAUAACCGCAACGAUUGACGUUACUCGCAGAAGAAGCACCGGCUAACUCCGUGCCAGC
RNAcentral lists this ribosomal RNA (495 nucleotides) under uncultured Enterobacterales bacterium. RNAcentral describes it as "bacterial SSU rRNA". It matches the Rfam family "Bacterial small subunit ribosomal RNA", at positions 30 to 512 of the family's 1533-position model. Lineage: Bacteria; Pseudomonadati; Pseudomonadota; Gammaproteobacteria; Enterobacterales. The record is from RNAcentral.